ACACACACACACACACUCUACGGGAGCCAGCCCCAGCGUGUGUUGGACCGGCCCAUCACGGUCCAGGCGGUGGGGACCAACGGUCGGAUCUUCCAGUUCCUGGUUCUCCAGCUCAACACCACGGACCUCUCCGGAGACGACGGCAUCAAGAACCAGGUGUGGCUGGAUGAAGACGCCGAGCUCUACGACUUUGCCAAGGUGCGGCCGCUCAUCAAGAAGAAGCAGGUGAAGGUCCCAGCUGGUCUGUCUGGAUACAGGCCGGAAGUCUUCAACAAAUUCCUGGCCCUGUACCUGCACGGAGCUGUAGCCCCCCGUCUGUGACAUCUCACUCAAUAAAGUCACUGAUGCUCUGA
Pseudoliparis swirei is the source of this 353-nucleotide long non-coding RNA. RefSeq lists it as uncharacterized. Lineage: Eukaryota; Metazoa; Chordata; Actinopteri; Perciformes; Liparidae. The transcript is spliced from 4 exons. The record is from RefSeq and is a predicted model, not a curated record.